UUAAAAUACUUUAAUGUAUUUAAUACCAUUCAUAGAAAUAACAAUAAAUAAAUGCCAUAAUCCGAGGACUGAACAGUAAAGACCUGUCAUAACAAAGUCUGUCUUUAAUAAUCUUUACAUCAGGUGCCCUUGAAAUUUAGGUAUAUGUUUGUACAGCUCAAUGCCAUCAAAGGUGGGGAAAUAAAUAGUGUGAAUUCAUAAUUCAUGAGAAAUGCUGCUGAAAAAUCAGUCCUUAAAUAGCAGAUGUGCUACAAUGUAUGUCAUUAAUAUCAUUUUUACAAUAUAUAAAGGGAAGACAUUUAUCAAUUUUGCUAACAUUUAAUUAUUAACUUUAUGUUGCAUUACCAAUGUAAUAAAAAUUUACAGUCAACAAAAUAUAUUUCUGAAAAGUCUAAAAAUAU
This is a long non-coding RNA of Saccostrea cuccullata (small rock oyster), 401 nucleotides long. RefSeq lists it as uncharacterized. The record is from RefSeq and is a predicted model, not a curated record. Lineage: Eukaryota; Metazoa; Mollusca; Bivalvia; Ostreida; Ostreidae. The transcript has 3 exons.